UGGCUGAGAAUUUUCUGGAUUGCUUGA
RNAcentral lists this non-coding RNA (27 nucleotides) under Mus musculus (house mouse). Lineage: Eukaryota; Metazoa; Chordata; Mammalia; Rodentia; Muridae. The record is from RNAcentral. RNAcentral also lists the same sequence under 1 other name.